RNAcentral lists this long non-coding RNA (217 nucleotides) under Lathyrus oleraceus (garden pea). RNAcentral describes it as "Pisum sativum (pea) long non-coding RNA (PSAT_LNC013311)". The record is from RNAcentral. Lineage: Eukaryota; Viridiplantae; Streptophyta; Magnoliopsida; Fabales; Fabaceae.
UAAAAUAAAGAAAAAUAAUUUAUCUAAAUGUUAUUAAUAGGAGAAUGUAAUUGAAAAAGAAAAAAAAAUUAUAUUAUAUUAAAAAUAAAAAAUGAUAAUUUUUUAGAAUAAAAUAUUUUUAUAAAUAUGAAAAUUAUUAUAGGAUAGGGAAAGUAGGUAGAGUGUAAAGCAAUAAACAACUUGCUAUCAUUUAGUUUAUUAUACACGCAUAAAAAAG